UCUCCGGUAGCGAAGGGCUGGAGGCAAACACCGAGCUCCCCCAGAGCCGCCCGGGAGCAGGGAGGGCACCGCUACCACGAGGGGCCCUCCCCGCGGGGCAGAUGGUCCUGGGUGAUGACAAAAAGAGCAAUUUGCUUUUCCUCGUCUAUCUCACUCCAUCAUACCACCUUGCAUCAGUUGAUGGAGUCUGGAGAAUCAUUCCAUUUCGGUGCCACUACAGUUCUGUAAUACACUGUAACCUCUCACAAGGAUGACCAGCCCCAGUUUCCCAUCAAAGAGAAAGAUGACUUUUAGCAGGAAGAGCUGUAUCACCUCUUAGAGAAACCACCAGCUUCUCAGUCUGUCAUUGCUUCCGCAGAAAGGUGCUACUGCGCUCAGGAAAGAAUGUAGAGAAUAUCGAAGGAGAAAAGGUUUUGACUUUGUCCUGAGAAUAUGGAAACCUUCUACCUAGCAAAGAGAUGUCAUGACCUUUCUGUCCAGUGUGCUUGAAUUAGAAACUAAAGUAACAGAGGUAGUUUAAACAUUUAAAAUGUUAUGACAUCCUGUAUUAUUUAGUUAGACCAGGGGUUGGCAAACUUUUUCUGUAAAGAGCCAGAUGGGAAAUAUUUUAGGCUUUGUGGGCCAUACUCUGUCCUAACUACUCAACCCUGCCAUUGUAGUGUGAAAGCCACCGUAGAUAAUACAUAAAUGAAUGAGCAUGGCUGGGUGUCAAUUAAACUUUAUUUAUGGAUCCUGAGGUUUG
This is an RNA transcript of Odobenus rosmarus divergens (Pacific walrus), 742 nucleotides long. RefSeq lists it as uncharacterized. The record is from RefSeq and is a predicted model, not a curated record. NCBI's taxonomy places the organism in Eukaryota, Metazoa, Chordata, Mammalia, Carnivora, Odobenidae. The transcript is spliced from 2 exons.